This 200-nucleotide ribosomal RNA is filed under the name uncultured bacterium. RNAcentral's name for it is "partial 16S ribosomal RNA". It matches the Rfam family "Bacterial small subunit ribosomal RNA", at positions 328 to 539 of the family's 1533-position model. The record is from RNAcentral.
ACGCUCGACACCUACGGAGGCAGCAGUCGGGAAUAUUGCGCAAUGGAGGAAACUCUGACGCAGUGACGCCGCGUGCAGGAAGAAGGUUUUCGGAUUGUAAACUGCUUUAGACAGGGAAGAAAGAAAUGACAGUACCUGUAGAAUAAGCUCCGGCUAACUACGUGCCAUCAGCCGCGGUAAUCUGAGCGGGCUGGCAAGGC